This 1229-nucleotide long non-coding RNA is filed under the name Lonchura striata (white-rumped munia). RNAcentral describes it as "domestica (Bengalese finch) lncRNA (ENSLSDG00000003753.1)". Lineage: Eukaryota; Metazoa; Chordata; Aves; Passeriformes; Estrildidae. The record is from RNAcentral.
GGGGGUGGGGCUGGGGGCGGAGCUCUCGCGGCGGCUCCGCCCCCGGCACCCCCGGGCCGACCCAUUGCUGUGCGCGGGGGGGGUGCUGGGCGCCGCGCCCUGCCUGCUGCUGGCCCUGCUGUGCGCCCAGCCCUGCCCCCCCGCCGCCUACGUGAGCACUGGGACGGACUGGGUUAUACUGGGAGGGCGUUUGGGGGUCAUUAUGGGGGGGUUUGGGGGUGACUGGGAUGGACUGGUUUAUACUGGGAUGGACUGGGAGGGGUUUGGGGGUCAUUAUGGGGGGGUUUGGGGUCAUUACUGGGGCACUGGUUUAUACUGGGAGGGACUGGGAGGGGUUUGGGUUCAUUACUGGGGCACUGGUUUAUACUGGGAUGGACUGGGAUGGACUGGGGGCUGCUGCUGGCCCUGCUGUGCGCCCAGCCCUGCCCCCCCGCCGCCUACGUGAGCACUGGGACGGACUGGGUUAUACUGGGUUAUACUGGGAGGGCGUUUGGGGGUCGGGGGGGGAAGAUUUGGGGUCGUUCGGGGGAGAUUUGGGGGGUUUGGGGGGGAUUUGGGGUCACUGGUUUAUACUGGGAUGGACUGGGAGGNGGUCGUUGGGCCAAGAUUUGGGGUCGUUCGGGGGAGAUUUGGGGGGUUUCGGGGGGAUUUGGGGUCACUGGUUUAUACUGGGAUGGACUGGGAGGGGUUUGGGGUCAUUACUGGGGCACUGGUUUAUACUGGGAUGGACUGGGAGGGGUUUGGGGGUCAUUAUGGGGGGGUUUGGGGGUGACUGGGAUGGACUGGGAUGGACUGGGAGGGACUGGGAUGGACUGGGACGGGUUUGGAGGUCAUUAUGGGGGGGUUUGGGUGUGACUGGGAUGGACUGGGAUGGACUGGGAGGGACUGGGAUGGACUGGGAUGAACUGGUUUGAACUGGGAGGGGUUUGGGGGUCAUUAUGGGGGGAUUUGGGGGGCACUGGUUUGAACUGGUUUGAACUGGUUUGAACUGGGAGCCCCCCCCAGGUUUUCAUCUUCCUGGGCGAGACCCUCCUGUCCCUGAACUGGGCCAUCGUGGCUGACAUCUUACUGGUGAGACUGGGAUGAACUGGGAGGGACUGGGAUGAACUGGGAUGGACUGGGAGGGACUGGGAUGAACUGGGAUGGACUGGGAGGGACUGGGAGGGAACUGGGAGGAACUGGGAGGGACUGGGAGGGAACUGGGAGUGAACUGGGAGGGAACUGGGAGG